This 253-nucleotide ribosomal RNA is filed under the name uncultured bacterium. Its description in RNAcentral is "partial 16S ribosomal RNA". It matches the Rfam family "Bacterial small subunit ribosomal RNA", at positions 524 to 776 of the family's 1533-position model. The record is from RNAcentral.
UACGUAGGGUGCAAGCGUUGUCCGGAAUUAUUGGGCGUAAAGAGCUCGUAGGCGGUCUGUCGCGUCUGCUGUGAAAACUCAGGGCUUAACCCUGAGCUUGCAGUGGGUACGGGCAGACUAGAGUGCGGUAGGGGAGACUGGAAUUCCUGGUGUAGCGGUGAAAUGCGCAGAUAUCAGGAGGAACACCGGUGGCGAAGGCGGUUCUCUGGGCAUGAUCUGACGCUGAGGAGCGAAAGUGUGGGGAGCGAACAGG